AUUGAACGCUGGCGGCAUGCUUUACACAUGCAAGUCGAACGGUAACAGGCCUUCGGGUGCUGACGAGUGGCGAACGGGUGAGUAAUGCAUCGGAACGUACCCAGAGGUGGGGGAUAACGCAGCGAAAGCUGUGCUAAUACCGCAUGUGAUCUGAGGAUGAAAGCGGGGGACCGAGCAGCAAUGUUUGGCCUCGCGCCUUUGGAGCGGCCGAUGUCGGAUUAGCUAGUUGGUGGGGUAAAGGCCUACCAAGGCGACGAUCCGUAGCUGGUCUGAGAGGACGACCAGCCACACUGGACUGAGACACGGCCCAGACUCCUACGGGAGGCAGCAGUGGGGAAUUUUGGACAAUGGGCGCAAGCCUGAUCCAGCAAUGCCGCGUGCGGGAAGAAGGCCUUCGGGUUGUAAACCGCUUUUGGCAGGAACGAAACGGUGUCCGCUAAUACCGGGCGCUAAUGACGGUACCUGCAGAAUAAGCACCGGCUAACUACGUG
RNAcentral lists this ribosomal RNA (491 nucleotides) under uncultured bacterium. RNAcentral's name for it is "partial 16S ribosomal RNA". It matches the Rfam family "Bacterial small subunit ribosomal RNA", at positions 29 to 507 of the family's 1533-position model. The record is from RNAcentral.